AACCCUCAAUUAUUAUUAUUAUCAUCUCUCUCUCUCUCUCGUAUGGAGAGAUCGCCCUCUCUCUCUCGUAGCCUCGUAGGGGAGAAUGAUGAGAACAGUUUCUUCCUAAAAUCCCUUUCACCUUCUCUCCUCUCCUUCUGUGGCUUGCCAUGCAUAUGAGGUAUGGAGUGUUUUGAUGAUCUGAUAAUAACAUGUUGCAGUGCCUAGAGGGAUUUAAGCAAGUAUUUGCUUUCUUACUUAAGUGUUGUGAGCUUGAUUUAUACAAGUCAUCUAAGGGCCUUGAGGAUCCUGAAGUUCUUGCAAGGGAGACAGUGUUCAGUGUGAGUGAAAUAGAAGCGCUCUACGAGUUAUUUAAGAAGAUCAGUAGUGCAGUGAUUGAUGAUGGACUGAUAAACAAGGAGGAAUUCCAGUUAGCAUUGUUCAAGACUAACAAAAAGGAGAGCUUGUUCGCCGACAGGGUGUUUGAUCUGUUUGACACAAAGCAUAACGGGAUAUUAGGUUUUGAAGAAUUUGCACGCGCAUUGUCCGUCUUUCAUCCCAACGCUCGAAUUGAUGAUAAGAUUGACUUUUCCUUCCAACUGUAUGAUCUCAAGCAGCAGGGUUUCAUUGAACGGCAAGAGGUGAAGCAAAUGGUAGUGGCUACACUCGCAGAAUCUGGCAUGAAUCUCUCAGAUGAUGUAAUUGAAAGUAUUAUUGACAAGACAUUUGAGGAGGCAGAUACAAAGCAUGACGGAAAGAUUGACAAGGAAGAGUGGAGGAGCCUGGUUCUGCGACAUCCCUCUCUUUUAAAGAACAUGACCCUACAAUAUCUCAAGGACAUCACAACUACUUUUCCGAGCUUUGUGUUUCACUCUCAAGUGGAUGACACCUGAUGCUUUUGUUAUUAAAAAAAACAUCGGGCAGUCAGUGUAGCUAUGAUUUUUCUUCUUUUGGAAUAUAUAUGAGUCUCGUUAAGAUUAUGUUAGAGUGGGAGUGCUGCCGUCUGGGUUUCUUGAUUUUGCCAAUAGUGUGGAUUACUCUCUAUUGACUGCAUUUACAACCUAAAAAAUUGUAUUUCUCACCUGAGUGGACCACAUCCACAGUGCAAAAGGAACGUGAAGCUCAUAAAAUGGGAACUGUACAUCUUUUUACUAUGAUCAACUAAUAUUUCCUUUCCAUCAUUUGUCUUCCCUACCUGGACGUCUGGUAAGUAAACAUAAUAACAGUUCUUGAUUGGUAAUACAAAAAGUGGUAAGAGGCUCGGAUCUAUGGGAAGACAGCGUGAACUGUUCCAAAUCCAGAGAGGAGUUGCGUAGGAGAACUGGCCAAGCAAUAAUUGAUGCUUGUUAGUCCGAGUAGCUUUCAAAUACUGGCAGGAGCCUCACUCCUGUUGCUUCCCGGUUGAUGUGCCUGAAUUUGCAAAGAAAAAAAGAUGUGGGCGACAUGUGCAGCCGAUUGCAGCUAAAGUUUGCUCUAUUAUGCAGGCUUAUUGGUUGCAUUCUGACAAACGAAUAUGAUGACAACGACUUAUGAGUUCCACCAGCUCAGCUUGAUGGGAUGUCCUACGUGGAUGCUGCUUGGACAAAGUGGGGGCGCGUGAUUUUAUGGUCAGCUGUGAACCCGUUUCUUGGCUUGAACUAAGGGGCCGUUUGUUUGCGUCAGAUCUGAGGUACUAAAAGAGGUGAUUUGAUAUCACGGGGGUUCUCAGGUCCUCGAAUUUGAGGUCAGAUCCUCCUCCCAUCCAACCUCAAUGUCAAAUCUGAGGUUUUUGCCGUAUAUUGAAGAUUUGAAACCCUCUUUUUUUAGAUGAUGGUGAACUCGAGUUUCAUUAUCAAAAAACCAUAAAUGUUUUGUGUAAUGGACUUACCUUGUUUGAACAUAUCUCUCUCUCUCUCUCUCUCUC
This is an RNA transcript of Nymphaea colorata (pocket water lily), 1882 nucleotides long. It is a transcript of the gene named calcineurin B-like protein 3, with no coding region annotated. The transcript has 10 exons. Lineage: Eukaryota; Viridiplantae; Streptophyta; Magnoliopsida; Nymphaeales; Nymphaeaceae. The record is from RefSeq and is a predicted model, not a curated record.